AGUGAACGCUGGCGGCAGGCCUAAUACAUGCAAGUCGAACGGCAGCACGGCAGAGCUUGCUCUGUGGGUGGCGAGUGGCGGACGGGGUGAGGAAUACAUGGGAAUCUGCCCAGUCGUGGGGGAUAACGUAGGGAAACUUACGCUAAUACCGCAUGCGCCCUUCGGGGAAAGCCGGGGACCUUCGGGCCUGGCGCGAUUGGAUGAGCCCAUGUCGGAUUAGCUAGUUGGCGGGGUAAUGGCCCACCAAGGCGACGAUCCGUAGCUGGUCUGAGAGGAUGAUCAGCCACACUGGAACUGAGACACGGUCCAGACUCCUACGGGAGGCAGCAGUAGGGAAUAUUGGACAAUGGGCGCAAGCCUGAUCCAGCCAUGCCGCGUGAGUGAAGAAGGCCCUCGGUUGUAAAGCUCUUUUGUCCGGAAAGAAAAGCGCCGGGUUAAUACCCUGGUGUCCUGACGGUACCGGAAGAAUAAGCACCGGCUAACUUCGUGCCAGCAGCCGCGGUAAU
This 506-nucleotide ribosomal RNA is filed under the name uncultured bacterium. RNAcentral describes it as "bacterial SSU rRNA". It matches the Rfam family "Bacterial small subunit ribosomal RNA", at positions 29 to 524 of the family's 1533-position model. The record is from RNAcentral.